CCUCUGACCCUUGCCCUCUCUCCCCCCAGGGUACCGAGAAGGCUCCCUCUGGAAGCGAGGCCGGGACAACGGGCAGUUUCUAAGCCGGAAGUUUGUGCUGACUGAGCGAGAGGGGUCCCUGAAGUAUUUCAACAGAAAUGAUGCCAAGGAGCCCAAGGCCGUCAUGAAGAUCGAACAUCUGAACGCCACCUUCCAGCCGGCCAAGAUCGGCCACCCCCACGGCCUGCAGAUCACCUACCUGAAGG
This is a long non-coding RNA of Herpailurus yagouaroundi (jaguarundi), 245 nucleotides long. RefSeq lists it as uncharacterized. NCBI's taxonomy places the organism in Eukaryota, Metazoa, Chordata, Mammalia, Carnivora, Felidae. The transcript is spliced from 2 exons. The record is from RefSeq and is a predicted model, not a curated record.